This 2013-nucleotide ribosomal RNA is filed under the name Triticum aestivum (bread wheat). RNAcentral's name for it is "partial small subunit ribosomal RNA". Lineage: Eukaryota; Viridiplantae; Streptophyta; Magnoliopsida; Poales; Poaceae. The record is from RNAcentral.
AUGGAUUAUCAAGGGAGCAAUGUCAAAAAUUUCCUUCACGCUAAUGGACAUGUGGUGCUUGAAAGAGUGGAUAACAACUAUAAUCUAAGAUCUUUCACUCAAAAAGAGAUAGAAGACAUCACCGGUGGGUACAACACUAUUCUGGGAGAAGGGGAAUUUGGUAAGGUUUACCAAGGAAAACUAGAUAAUGAUCGCCCAGUCGCAGUAAAGAUAUAUAAAAAUGGAACCAAGAAAGAAGAGUUUGCCAAAGAGGUGAUAGUGCAUUCCCAGAUAAAUCACAAGAAUGUUGUCAGACUGUUUGGUUGCUGCACAGAGGUAAAUGCUCUUACGAUUGUUAUGGAGUUUGUAUGCAAUGGCAACCUGUACAACAUCCUUCACUGCAGCAGGAGCAAUGCUAAUGGUUCUAUCCCCUUCCCUUUGGACAAACGUUUGGACAUCGCCAUUGAGUCAGCUGAAGCACUAUCAUGCAUGCAUUCAAUGUACAGUCCUGUUCUUCAUGGUGACAUCAAACCUUCUAAUAUACUGCUAGAUGAAAAUCUUCGGCCAAAGAUAUCGGAUUUUGGGAUAGCAAGAUUGCUUGCUGCUGAUGAGACACAACGUACCAGAUAUGUCAUUGGUUGCAUAGGUUACAUGGACCCUUUGUUUUGUCAGAGUGGGAUACUAACCCCGAAGAACGAUGUAUACAGUUUUGGAGUCGUUUUGCUGGAAAUCAUCACCCGGAAAAAAGCUGUGGAUGGGAACAUCAUCCUUGCUCAAACCUUUUCUGAAGCACUGAGAAAAGGGAAAAAGAUGAGACAAAUGUUUGAUGUGGAAAUUGCGAAUGAUAAAAAGAACAUGAAAUUUCUUGAAGAUGUUGCAAAACUAGCAGCCGAGUGCUUAAAAAUGGAGGGCAAAAUGCGUCCUGAAAUGGUUGAAGUAGCGGAUAGACUUAGAACAAUUAGAAAAGCUUACCACCAGCACAAGGGCAGAAGUUCUGCAGGUAGCAGCUCUGGUCUUACUAUAAGUGGAAAGACAGAGGAUGUGCCUUCCCCUAUCCCUAUUACCGCUGCUACUGUUAACAACACUGACAGAAUUCCACCAUCAGCGGUACCGACCAUUUCCAUGGAUGACCUGAAGGAAAUAACCAGGAACUUUAGCAAUGAUGCUCUUAUAGGAGAGGGCUCAAACAAUAAAGUUUUUUUCGGAGUGCUGGAGGAUGGACAUAAAUCUGCGAUCAAGAAGCCUAGGCCUACUACAAAAAAUGUUUUGGAGGUUCCGAUGGUCUCAAGAUUCAAACAUGAAAAUGUUAUCCAGCUUCUCGGAUACUGUGUUGAAGGAGACAACCACAUUCUUGCUUAUGAGUAUGCAUCCAGGGGAUCCUUGUUUGAUAUUCUUCAUGGUAAAAAGAAUGUCAGGGGAGCCGAACCAGGACCAGUUCUGUCCUGGGCACAGCGUGUGAAGAUUUCCAUGGGUGCUGCAACUGGCCUACAAUUCCUCCACAAGAAGACACAGCCUUGCGCUGUCCACGAUGGCAUCAAAUCCAGCAACAUAUUUCUCUUCGACAACGACGUUGCAAAAAUUGGUUGGCCUGGUGUUUACAGACAGAAGCCCCCUAUAGACAAUAUCUUUUUGGAUCGUAUUAACUUUACUACCGGUUACGGUUAUGAUGCGCCUGAGUAUCUAAUGAACGGACAACUUUCUACAAUGAGGGAUGUCUACAGCUUCGGGGUCGUGCUGCUGGAACUUUUAACUGGUCGAAAGGCAGUUGAUCAUACACUACCAUGUGGCCAACAAUCCCUCGUGACGUGGGCUACACCAAGACUUCCUGAAUGCAAGGUGCAAGAAUGCGUGGAUCUGAGGCUAGGAGGAGAUUACCCUCCUAAGGCUGUCGCCAAGAUGGCUGCAAUCGCGGCGUGUUGUAUACAGUACAAGGCCGACUUCCGGCCACGAAUGAGCACCGUCGUCCGGCUUCUGAGGACUAUUUCCGCCGAUACCGAAGCACAUCUGGAAUCUGAGGCAUCGUCCAAGCAGUGA